Molecule: long non-coding RNA, 40827 nt
Filed under: Medicago truncatula (barrel medic)
Lineage: Eukaryota; Viridiplantae; Streptophyta; Magnoliopsida; Fabales; Fabaceae
Description: long non-coding RNA (MTRU_LNC007784)
Rfam family: tRNA (bases 11083-11156)
Source: RNAcentral
UAGAUUUAACUUUAAAAUUAAAUACUACUUUUAGUAGUAUAUAAAAACACUAUAAAUUAGUGAAAACACUACAAUAUAUUUUAUUCGAAUGAAAAAAAUUAAAUCCUGUUUGAUAUCAUUAUUUUCAAAAAAUGAAAUUUUGAUCCUCAUUUUAAAAUCUUUGUUUUUUUAAGGAAAAAUCUUCUUUUUUGGUUCCUCAAUUUUUUCCUUUUUCUGAAUUUUCCACCCCAUUCCAUUUUGGAGUCAUUUUUGCUAAUAUUAUUCAUUGGAAACAACUACUUUGGAGUCAUUGUUCCAUCAAAUUAUUAAAAAACGACUAUUUUAUAACUUCAAUAUAUUCAUGAUUCACGAACUAUAAUAACAGUCUCACACAUUAGAAAAUCAAGACGAGGGUUCAUGUCAAUUUUUUCAUGAUAGAAGCAUAACAUAACCUCUACUUACGGUUAUCCGUCCGAACCCAUUCUGAGUUCUUGGGUUUUUUCCGUUUUGACUGAAUUUGAGUAUGAGUUUGAAUUUUUCCUGAUUUUAAAACACGAGUAUAAGAUGAAAAACAUGUAUAUAUGUACCCACCCCGAUCUCAAACCCGUCCCGAUGUAAAAAUUUACUUUAUUAUCCAUUGAGGUUUGCCAUGUUAUAUAAAAGUCAAAUUAUUCGAUCAAAGAAAUGUUAAAGUGAACAUAUAGUUAGAUAAUGCAUUGGAACAUUUCCAUCAUAAAUGGAAAAAAUCUUCUUUAAAAAAAAAAAAAUCAUUGCGAGAAUGAAAAUGAAGCAGAGAUACUCAAAUAUGUUGGAGAUGUGAAUGAAAUUCAAUUUCUCAUCCUCGUUGCAUAUGAAUAUGGUAACAUGAGAAUAUAUAGGAGUUAAAGAUGGACGAUGAAAGUAAAACCCGUUUUCAUCCUACCCAUUGCAUAACUAUAGUUUAGUAACUCUAUUUGGUUACAUUCUAGUCUAGUCUAGUAGCAUGCACUAGUAAACAAAACUGUCAUUCUCCAUUCAUUUCAUGAUAUACAUUUAUAAUAUCCCCGACAAAUCAUCAUCCUUUAGCUUUAGCAGCAUAAUGGAAAUGAUGUGGACUCUUUUAGUGGAGAGGUUCAUUCACUUUGAUGGAGAAAAUUUUGAAAAGCAAUAUCAUCGUGGCUGCAUGGUUGUCUUAUCCCAAAGACUUCAUACAGAAGUUGGUCCAGCAAAGAUAUGCACGGUUGCUUGCCUAAAUAUUUCUCUCAGACUUCUAUAGGACGUUACUGCGACCAGAUACAUGGUUCUACGCAUUCUAUUUUUCUUUCUUUUGUUACAUUUACUUCUAUACCCUUUUAGAAGAUAUUCAUGCAUGUUUAGAGUCUAUUUGAACGAGAUAAUUAAAAAUUAUAAAAAAAUUAUUAGAAUUUAGGCAACUAAAAAAUUUCAAUUGAUCCUUCAAAAAAAAUAAAUUCAAUUGAUUUCUCUUAAUUUCUACAUUUUCAUGUUUGGAUGGAGUAAUUAAAUUAGUGAUUUUUUAAAAUUUGGAAACCAAUUUACAAUUUUUAAAAAAUUAUAGGGACUAAUUUACUUUUAUUUUAUUUUAUAUAAUUUAUAAAGAUUAUUCUGCAAUUUUUAAAAUUUGGAAGUUAAUAAAGACCGGUUUGUAUAACAUGAAAAAAUAUAGGGUUCAAUUUUAAAAAGUUCAAAAAAUAAAUAGGAUCUAAUGUGUAAAUUUUGAAAACAUAUAAUAAAACCCAAUUUUUGAGAUUCACGUUGUAUAACUAAAUAAUAAAUUUCAAAUAUGCACGUUACUUUAUUCGGUCAUUAUUAUAAGAAAAUAUUCAAUUUUAAUUUAUUUUUUUUGAAGGACACUUUUAAAUUUAUUGAAUAGUUGAUGUAUUUGGUCUAUAUUAUUGAUUAGAUGCAUAAGAUAUUCAAUUCGUCUAAAAUGUAGGUUUUUUUUUUCCUAAUAAGAGGGAUUGAAGGUUUUUUUUUUUUUUUUUAAAAAAAAAAAAAGCUAAACUAGUUCACUAAAAUUGACAUCAAAGAGAGUCGAGUCUGAGAUUCUGAGGAAGAGCACACUCCAAGAUGUCAAGUUAAUACCAUCAGAGUAAGUUUGGGACUCGGGAGUAUUAUUUUCUUACAAAACAAAUAGCAAAGUUAUUGGUACUAAUUAAGGUUCUAGGGGACCUUCUCCAAACCGCCAAUGAAUUUUUUAUGCAUAUUGAAAUGUCUGAGUUCAAGAUUUUGUUUGGUUAGACAGGCUUCCAGCGGAGUUGCAUAUGGGGAUGUCAACCUAGUUGGGAUGUCGGUGUAGCCUUUCGGAAUGUCUGUCUUUCUCCCUGCUUAGCAAAAAAAAUUAAGGUUCUAAGUUUAAAUUCGAGUUUGAGUCUUUAAUAUCAUUGAAAUUCUGGAAAGGAAUUUACCUUCCAUCUAAAUCUUAGAAGAUUGACACUUGAGUUUAUUCAAUAACUCAUGUAAUUAGUCUAUAAUAUUCAUCAUAUACAUCAAUUAUUUAAUAAAUUUAAAAAAUUGAGUUUUAUUUAUAAUGGUAACUAAAGGGUGUAGAAAUUUAGUCUACUUAGUUGAUGUGAUGCGCAUAGAUCUGUCUUAACCUGGUAGUGAUUAGAAAGAAACUUAGGCUGUGUGUACGUUUGGUAACACAAAAAAACUAGCUUAUAGUUUCUUGGAUUAGAUUAUAAGCUUGUUGGAUGAAAACAUGAUGCGUUUGGUAACAAGCUUUUCUCAUGAGCUUAUAGCAUUUUUUGAAAAGCUAUUUCAAGUAGCUUUUGAGCUUAUAGUUGGUAGCUUUUUAUAUUUUCUUCCUAUUUUAACCUUUUAUUAAUAUAGUUUAAUUUAAUUUUAAUUAAAAAACCUACCCACAUUCUUAUUCAAUUGCCCACGUUUAAAAAAAAAAACUACCCACAAUCUUUUUCAAAUUUUCUUGUUCACUUUCUUUUUUUACAUACUCUUAAUUCAAUAAUAAAUAAUUUUAUAUGAAAUUUACAAUAAAGAGUGAAGAAAGUUUAGUUGAGUAAAAUUCAUUAAAAGAAAGUUUUGUUAAAUAAAAAAUGUCAAUUGAAUUCAUAAAUACAUUUAUCAUUUGGGAGAUGAAAAUAUUUUAAAAUAAAUUUAAACAUUUAAAAAGAAAUACAAUAAUUAAUAAAAAUUGUAUAUAUGAUUUAUAAAAAACGAUUGUCUUUUUACGUCAUUUUAUAUUUAUCAGCCACUUGAACAACUAAUUUUACCACAAACACUUUUUAUUUUAAUAAACUAACUUUUCAACUAUAAAUUAUCAGUUAUCAGCCAUCAACUAAUUAACAAGGCAACAUCAUUCUAUUUAUAAAAAAAAAAACUCUUCAAAAAUAAAAUGAAAGACAUGACCUCACCAUUGAUCACCUACAUGAGCAAGACUAUAGUUAGCUAACAUGUUCGCAAAAUGAUCUCCUUUUCUAAAAUUGUGAGAAAUAUGAAAAUGCAUAUGAGAGCAAAGAUGUAAACAAUUGGCCCAUGAUUAUGAAUCCUCCAAAGAACUAAGUAGUUUCUACAAUAUAAAAAGUAUCGAUCCAACCGAAAGGAGGAGGAAACCAAAUAAUGUCUAUGAUUUUUGGAGAAGCACCGAGGUUGCCAUCAAUAUUUAAAUGUUGAAAGUUAGAGAUUGAAUUAGACAUUGUGCCCUUAGAUCGAUAAAUUCCAAGUCAUAUGCAUAUAAGAUAAAAUAGAAGAACAUGUUCGUUGAAAAGUUACACUCUUAUUUUGAACUUUAGCUUGAUUCAUAGGAAUCCAAGUCAUAUGCAUUUUUGUGAUUUAUUUAUUUUGAUCAGCUAAAUUUUAUCGAGUUUACAUUUUUUAUGGUUUGUAGACAUUAUUUAAAACUCACAUACAUAAUCAAUGUCUAAAUUUGAACUCAUGUGAAGGUGUUUAAUCUAACAAUAUUAAAAUUACCAACUAGGUUAGAUCUUACAAAUAUACUAGGUCAUGUUUAUUGUGGGUAAAUUAUUUGAACAAUUGUGAUUCUUUUAAAUUUUCAAAAAAAUAUUUUGGAAAAGAAUGUUAUGUGAUGAUUUUAAAAAAAUUAGUUUUAAAUAUUUUUUAUAUAAUGCAAUUCAUUUUGUUGAAAGAACUUAUUUAGAUUUCAAAUUUUCAAUAUAGUUUCUUUACUUUAUAAAUUUUGGGAUAUUUUUAAAUUCAUUUUUUUAUAUAUUUAUGAUAUAACUUUACUCUUUUUUUUUUUUUUAUGGAUGAUUUAUAUAAAAAAUGACUGAGAAUAUAUUAAAGAUUCGAGACCAGGUUCAUUUGUUUUAGACCAGGUUCAUAUUCAUUGAAAUUCAAUUCAACUAUUUGACCCAUUUUCACCCUUUUUCGGUGUGUAUUGGUACUAGUAAUUUUACUUUAAAAACCUGCCUAAAUAGGUAGAAUAAAUUGAGUAAAAGUUGUCUUUAUUAUAUAAAAAUUAUUUUAUUUUUAAUGUAUCGAUUAUAUUAUUUAUAUAUUUAUUUAUUUUGUGACAACUGUUUUCUAAAUAGCAUUUCCUAAGAUAAUUUUAUACCUAUAUACAUUUUUUUAAAAUGGAAAAAUAAUCAAAGGUGAAUCAGACCGAAAUUUGAAUAAUUAUGAAAGGGAAGCUUGAAAAUUAUCAUGGUCGAAACAAUCUUGCUUUAUGGAGUAGUAGAAACACAAAAAUAAUUUUUACGAAUAAAGACCCGUUUGUGUUGAGACUUGCAUUUCUUGAUAUGGAAAUCAACUUGACUUUUUUUUCCAUAAAAUAAAAAAAUUCAAAAAAGCAUGUUAGGGUCAUGAUGGUAAGUUCACAAAAUCCCAUAAAUCUACGAAAUAGAAUUAAUGCUAUAAAUAAGCUAAUACAAGAUCAUAACACAAGAAAACAUUAGGCCACAUAGCUCAAACAUGAUGAAAGAUUUUCUGAACAAGUGUGGUGGGUAUGGAAUCAUAGAUGGUGGGUUUGCCACAGAGCUUGAACGCCAUGGAAUUGACCUCAAUGACCCACUUUGGAGUGCCAAAUGCCUCUUUACUUCCCCACAUCUUGUCCGAAGGGUACCGCUUUUUUUUCUUUAAUUACUUAUUUUCUCUUGCUUUUGUUUCAAUGCACUUUUAUUCAUAUAGUAUAGAUAAGUUCUUACAAAAAAAGACUAAAAAAUAGUCUAGGAAUUUCGUUAUUAAUCAAGAAUCACUAUAUACAAGAUGGAGUAUACAUGGAAAAAAAAAAUCCAGGGAAUGGAAGAGAUAAAACUACUCUAUUAGAUUGUACUUUAGCUUAUCCUUCCAACACCACAGACAGGAAAGUUCACAAACAUUUAGCAAGGACAAAAGCUCCAAGAUUAUUAAUAGUGAAAUUCUUAAAGUAAAAUUUUAAAAAAAUUCUCUUUAUACAUAUUAAUUAAUCAUAUAUUAGUGGUGGUGAAGACAUGAGAUUUAUAAUUGUGUUUAUCUCUGGAUCUCUCAAGUUUGAAUCCUCAAUCCGUAUAUAACAAAGUUCAAUUGGAUCUUUUGCUGAUAAACAAUGGAUUGAUCACUCGAAUUAGUAGGCUAUUGUCCUAACAAAAUGUUUAAAUUUUCUUCUUCUUCUUCAUAUUUACGUUACUCUCAUUUAAUUUAUAUAGCCCGUAGCUAAAUUAACAUAUUUAACAAAAAUAAUACAGUAUCGUUUAGGUUUAUCAUGACUUUACGUUUAAUUUGUUUAACUUAAAAUUAUUCUAUAUAAUCAUAUAACCUAACAUUUAUUAUUUUUUGGACUCUAUCGUUUAUCAUGGACAACACAACUUUCUCAUAUCACGUAGAAACGUACCAAUGUGUCAUAGUUAGGUCCAAAUCGAAAAAAAGACAGAAAUCAAGUAACGAAAAUGUACACGUUGCACUUUAUGUUGCCAAGGUGUCAGUACUUCAUGUAGUCCUCUGUGCUAGGUGUAAUCUCUUAAUAAGUUUCGCAAUAAAACUAUAGGUACUCAAUUAUUUAAUGUCAUGGUAUAAUUUUUUAUAUUUAACCAUUUAAAAUGAAUUAUUUAAUUUUACAGUGAUUUUAUCUUUAUGAAUUAUGAUAUCGGUAUCCAUCAAAAGCUUUAAAAUAUAUGAAAGAAUUCCCCGGAUGUUGAUAUACUUUUGAAAUUAAAAAGGAAAAAAUGUAUAACUUAUAGGAGAAGAACCUUAUCUUAGAUGAGAUUGACAUGUUUGGAUGUAUACGAUCGAAGUUGUAUUUAUUUAAUGACUAUGAAAACAACUUAAAGCAGACGGAACUGAACAUACAAGCUGUAGUGUUCAUUUGGUAUUUGUACAAGAAAAGGGAUUGAGUACAAGAUUGCACAUCUAUGAUCUAACUUUAUAAUGCAUUUUGCAGCUAUUUAUUUAAUUUAAUUAAUCACUACAAAACUUAAACAGACGACAUUGCUCAUACAAGCAUAAUUUGUUUGGAGGAGAAAGAUUAAAAUAAGACAAGGCUACUAAAACAAGGGCUUAGUUAGAUCUAUAAAACUUAAUUAAUCUAACUUUGAUUUAAAAAAACAUCCAAAAAGGGAAAUAUUUUAAAUUCAUAUGAUAAAAGAUUGUAAAAACAUUUGAUAUGUUAGGAGGUGAACCCUCGACUUUUCACUUUUCAACAUGCUAUCGUUUUGCUUACGCUCUUUAGAACAAAAUAAUAAUAAUAGAAGAGUAGAUAAAUUACAAGAUAAAUUGGUAAUUUUCUACUUAUCUAAUUAAUUAACUUAUCAUUUCAUCGAUGUUUUGUUGAUUCAUUGCUUGACACCAUGUGACAGGUUCACCUUGAUUACCUUGACUCAGGAGCAAACAUAAUAUUAACAUCAUCUUAUCAGGUAAUUCAUCUAAACUACUAAUUUCCCUACAUAGAAUUUAAUCAACUGAUUUACAGUUACUAUCUAUCUAUCUAUAUUCAGGCCACAAUUCAAGGUUUUGAAGCUAAAGGGUUCUCUAAGGAAGAAGGUCAAGCUCUGCUUCGAAGAAGCGUAGAGCUUGCGCGCGAGGCACGUGAUAUAUAUUAUGAUAGGUGCACUAAAGAUUCAUUUGACUUCAUCAGAGAUGAAAGAUAUAGAAGCCGUCCCAUUUUGAUUGCAGCUUCUGUUGGAAGCUAUGGUGCCUAUUUAGCUGAUGGCUCUGAAUAUACGUGAGUCGAUUAAACAAACCAUGUCAAAACUAUAUAUUAGAAUGUGAUUUUAGAUUGGACAUAAGUUUUUCGCACCAUUAGUGUCGACGUAUGAUGUUAAUUGUGUGUUUUUGAUAGAGGGGACUAUGGUGAUGCAAUCACUGUCCAUACACUCAAAGAUUUUCACAGGGAAAGGGUAAAAAUACUCGUUGACGCAGGAGCUGACUUAAUUGCCUUUGAAACAAUUCCAAACAAGCUUGAUGCACAGGUAAUUACCAAUUACCAUUGCAAAUUUGUACAAGUUUCACAUUGAUUUUGAGCAUGCCUAUUAAUUUUCCCUACAAUCAAAUAUACAGGCUUAUGCUGAACUUUUAGAGGAAGAAGGGAUAGAAAUUCCUGCAUGGUUUUCUUUUUCUUGCAAGGAUGAAAACAAUGUGGCUAGUGGUGAUUCUAUCUUAGAAUGUGCUUCCAUUGCUGAUUCAUGUCCACAAGUUGUCGCAGUUGGAGUUAACUGUACAGCUCCUAGAUUUAUUCAUGGUUUGAUUUCAUCUAUUAAAAAGGUGUGACUUUUAUAUAAGUUUAUGCUCUUAUGUGCUAAUUUGUUUUACUAUUUUGAUUGGCUUUUGUAAAUCAUUCUUAUACAAGUUUUAGUUAAUCGAAUCAUAUAGUUUCUUGGUAUUAUACUAUCAACAUUUUUGUUCAAUAUGCACAAUUUUCAACUAAAAAUAGUGAUAAAGCUGAUACUUGUUCAUUGAUUUCUUAAAUAUCAGGUAACAAGUAAACCAAUACUUGUAUAUCCCAACAGUGGAGAGACUUAUAAUGCUGAGAACAACACAUGGGUGGUGAGUUCAUGUUUUUCUCUCUCAGCUCAUGUUCAACUUCAUCCAAUUUCAAUCUAAUUGCGGUUUUAACAAAUGAUACAUUGUCACAUAUUUAUUUAUAGCAUAACCUCAUUCCAUUUCUAAGUUAUUAAUCUCAAAAUUUAUCUUCAAUAAUCGGCAAAGCAUACAUAAAAAAAUGAAUCUUAAUGGAGUAAUUGAAAGUAAGUUAACAUGUACAUAUCGGAUGUGGGAGUUGAACUAGACGUAGUCACUGACUUUAGCCGUCUGGUGUGAAAUCAAUCAAGGUGAUGAUUAUUUAACGAUGAUUUAACAAAUUUGCAAUGUAUGUUGAAGUAUAGUCACACAAUUCGCUCCCCUACUGGAGAACCACGAAUUGGUUCGUGCAAACCGGUUUGUGGUACUUUUGCGAACUGCAGUGAACCGGUUCGUCUAAUGUGUGUAACUGCAUUUUUUUUCUACUCCAUUGGGUAUAAGUUUGUACAUAUAUGAGAAUUUUUGUUUAGUGUAUGAAAUUGAUGGUAUGAAGUUAAUCUAUGCAGAAAUCAAGUGGGGAAGCAGAGGAAGAUUUUGUCCCUUACAUAGGAAAGUGGCGUUAUGCUGGGGCUACCCUUUUUGGUGGCUGCUGUAGGACCACUCCCAAAACUAUUAGAGGCAUAACCGAGGCAUUAUAUGGAAAACCUCAUGGCAAAUGUAUAUAAACUGUUGAAGUAUGGUUUAUCUUAUGUGUGUAAUAAUUAAUGAUGGAACAAAUGAUCAUAACAAUAACUAGUCUUGUUUUGGCUAUUCCACUUUCAUACAAAUUGGAUAUAUGCCAAACAAUCUCUAAUUUCUAUAAUAUAAAUUACUUGCCCUACCUGUUUCCGUUUGUGCAAACUUUUGAAUGAUAGUAACAAAACCUGAUAAGGAUAAGAGUGUAGCAGCAGAUAAAAAAAAAUGAAUUCUUGAACAAAUUGGUGGCAUUUAAAAUGAGAAGUUGGAGACAAUUUUUUAUAAAGCCUCAUAAUAUCAGAGUCAUACAUAUCACAAAAAUGUCACAUGCACUAUCACAUAAAAGGGUUUGCACCUGUCUAGUAGCAAGAAAAACCAAAAGUUACCAUCUCGGUUGCACGGACACUUUUAAUUAAAGGUGUGUCUGGUGUCUGAUACCGACGCAACACUGACAUUUGUGAUUACAUUGAACUAUGUCGUUUUUUCAAAAUUUUAAUGGUGUCGGCGUGUCCGUGUCAGUGUCAUGUGUGGUGAUCCAAUCAAUAUUUUUUUAGGUCUAGCACUACAGUCCAUUCAAUAAAGAAAGGUGAUUCUUUCAAAAAAAAAGAAAAAAAGAAAGGUGAUUGUUCAUCUAACUCCCCGAAAAUGCAGGAACUAUAUUUUAACGGAUUUGAGCAUACGAGAAGGGAGGGGGAAUGAUCAAUCACCACACAGAAAUUGUGAUAAACUGAUCAAUUGCACCUAUUAAGUACACAUUUGAAGAAAGAAAAAAACAUAUUUUUGUUUUUUUUUUUUGUUUUUUUUUUUUUUUUUUUUGUGUGUGUUGAGGAGGAUACUUAUUUUCUAGAAACGUUAGGGGUGUAUAAAGUAGCUAUCAUAUAUUUAUUUUAAAAAACUGGCACAAAAUGGACGGCCCAAGAUAGGUAUACUCGCACCUACUUAAGCUACCCCAUAUUUCCACAUCUAUCUCCAUCUUUCACAUUUAUUUAUCCCACAUUGGACGUAAUUUGACGUAAAAAAGGUUUAUAAAUAGUUUCUCACUUUACAAGUUAAUUUGUGAGUUGAUUAAAUUAGAGUUAACCCAAAUUCUAAGAUGAUAUUAAAAUUUGUCAUUGAUCCAUUGAUCAUUCACCAUACUAAUAAUAUUGAGUGUGAUGUGUGUGUAUGGAGAAAAUUAAAGUCUCACGUUAGGUGUUAACCCAAAUUCUAAUAAUAUGUUAAAAUCUGAUUCUAAUUCAUCCUUACAAAAUUGACUUGUAAGGUAAGAUUUACCUCUCUUUUCAAUGUGAGAUUUGAGUUUUUUCAAAUACACUCCAUUACGUUCAAUACUAUUGAGUUUGAUACAUGAAUAUAUAGGUGACUCAAAUCGAUAGACUCUAAUAUCAUCUUAGAUUUUAUAUUUGAUCUAACUCAACCUUACAAAACCUAAAUUGUAAGGUGAACAAUGACUCUCUUUAUAAACUCUUAUUACAAAUCCUAUAUUUUCAAUGUGACCUAAAUACUUUAUAUUACAUUUUUCAUACCAUACCAUACCACAGGUCCACAGCUGGAUGAAGACGAAUGGUAAGGUAGAAAGGUGAUGGAGGACAUCGUCUUGAAAAAGUCAGAUACCCCAUAAUUUGAUGAGGCAAUAUGAAUGAGAAAAAUGGAUGACCACUAUAAUUACAAACGUCAACGAGUUCUUAUACCAUAAAACUACUUGGGUCACAUCAUUCUUGAAGUCACUACUUUGUAAUACGAAUGUAUACUCCAUCAUGCAUGAAAUCACUUUUUUUUUUUUUUUAAGGAAUCAUGCAUGAAAUUACUGGUUACUACCCAUGAUAUUUGAGUUCAUCAUGUAACCAAAAUAUGUAUGACACAAAAUGUUCUCUUCUAAACACAAGAACACAUACUCCACCCUUUUUUUUAAUCGUCAUAUUUGAAUAAAUUUUCUGUCUCUACUUAGUUGUCAUUUUAAAGUUUAAUAUAAUAUUAAUUAUUGAUUUUUCGAUUAUAUCCUUACUCAUUUUACCGUAGAGAAAAAAAUAGAUAAAAUAAAAUAUUAAAUGAUUAAAAGUAUUAUAUAUAAAAGAUAAAUAAUUGUAUUAAAAGUAAUAAAAUUUAUUGAUUGUCCUGGCAAUUGUGAAAAUUUAAACAACGGUGAUUAAAAAUGAACAAAUGGAGAAAAUGAAAGAAGGGUGAGACAAAAUAAUAAAAUCCGAAUAAUUUUAUGUUGACACUUUUUUUUUUUCUACCAGUAGUUGAAUAAUUUUAGUGAUUUUACCCCAUGUAAAAGAGAGUGUUGGGUGGGAUGGUUAGGAUCACGUGACCAUCUGUCACAUUUGUGUGUUGUAGUAGAAGAUGUGUGUGUCACCUAUCGUGGUCAAGGUAUCACCACUCUAAAAAUCUAAACCAUAUCUCAAUCACAUGUUGAUAUGGUGUCGGAUGUCAAAUUGUACGGUUACAAUUUAUUGUUUUUAUCAAAAAGACCGCAUAAUGCAGUAGAUUAGUGUGUUUGACUUUGGAUCAAAAGGUCGUGGGUUUGACUCCCACUGUGGUCGAUACUUUUCCCUCAAAUUUUUUUAUUUUUUUUUUAUUUUUUCCUGCAGAGGCAUGAAUUAAACAUUUAAAGAGUAAUAUGUAAAUUUGAGUCCAAAAUAAAAAGUAACUGGUAAUUUGUCCAUAUUUUUAUUUUUAUUUUUACUUGGGCUAAAAAUUAGAAAAGGAAAGAAAUAUACUGGUAGAUUCUUCCUUAAACCUUGGAAGAAAAAAAGGAAUUUGGUUAAUGUGUGUUAUGGCGUGACGAAGCACAUUCAUUCGUAGUUUACAAUUUGCUUGUGAAUAAUGGGUUCAUCUUUAAUUCAAAAGAUAGUGACAUGAGAUGAAAGCUUUGUCACAUUUUGAAAAUGCCAAACCCAAAGCCAAUUUGACAAAACAGAUGAAAACAUGAAGCUUUGAAAUAAAAAAAGGAGACAAAAACAAAUAAAUUGGGUCUCUCUCAAAUCAGAAAAAGCAAUAAAAUAAAAGAAUCAAACCAAAGACAUGUUGAAAAAUAAAAGACAAAUAUAUCUUUGACCAUCUCGUAAAACAUAAUUUUGUCUAAUAGAUCCUAUUCUCGUAAAACAAUUUAAUUUCGUGUAGGAGACAUAAAGCAAAAGCAAGAAGAUAUUCUUGGAGUUAUUUUUUAAUCAAAAUAAAUAAAUUUAAGAACAAAAUAUCAGUUACUUUGGAAUAUACCUUAUAAUCAUCAUAACCUCAUUGAAUCGAAAAACAUACGUUCCAAUUGAUGUUGUUGGUCUACUAGGAUGUCUAUUCUAUAAUCUAAAGGUGGAAGAAAAUGAUACGAAGACUUAGCACAUUCUAAAAUGUAGGACCACUUGUUCUACUCUUUAAAUAUAGAAUUACCAUAUAUGGCCCAAUUCUCUAUCGUUUUUGUAACGAUUCCUUAUCUUUAUGAGUUUAUUUGGAAAAUUCAAUGGACCCCUCUUUCUUCCUUAUUGUCUCAGAAAUCAUUCCCUAAAACCCACAUUCAACGACGCAUAAACGUUAUAAAAUUCCUACUGAAAGCAAAAGCAAAAGCAAAACAUUCAUAUCACUUAUGUUUCUUUCACCAACGUAGUAUUGACAGAUUAUUAGAUGUGGGAUGUGUAUGUGUUAAGCAGCAUCUAGUCACGACUUCAAUUUUUAACCGAAAUGAUUAUUAUAACUUAAUUAAUCUGCACAUUUAACUAUGGAGACUAAUCUCAUGAAACAAGAUUUCUUUAUAACAAGACAUCUAAAAUCCAAAGUCAGUGGUGGAGAGCCUUGCUAAACCUAUGGCCCCCAUGCUUGCCUUAUUUGAACAAAUUUUCAGUGCUCCAAUAAUAAUGAACACUCGAUACUCCUCUCUAUUAUAGUUUAAAAAAAAAAUUAAAGUUUUUCUUUUUAAAAAAUGAAAAUAAAAAUAUAGUAAGGAGUGCAAACUAUUUUGUCAUGUUUUAGGGUUGUGGCAAAAGACACUGGUUCGUAUUUCUUUUAACAUAGGGUCUCAGAAAGCUUCAGUGCAUGGUCACUAUUUGGAUUGGAACCUUCUUUGCAAUCAUGGCUGUUAAUACUAGCUGAUACAGUUGUUAAUGAAGCUGCUGAUAUUUUGUUUUAUUCUAAAUUCUAAAAGAUCUUUUUUCAGCUAAAUUUUAUAUAAAUAAAUCUAUCAAUCUUUUAGAUUUUUGUGGGUGCAAUCUUACCAGAACCCUUCAUCUUUGUGACAUCAUGCAUGUAAAUAAUUUUUAAACAAAAUUUGUGUUGGUUUUUAGUUGUGUGGUGACAUAAAUAUACUUUGAAUAAAUAGAUUUGAUAAAAAUAAUUGUUAUUAAAGUUGAGAGUUGAAUAUAAAAUAAUUUAUUUUUUUGAAUAUAAAAAUGAUUUAUGUUUACAUACAUUUAAGUAUAUAUGAGUUAAAUAAUAAAAAAUCAAUUGUAGAUGCAAUAUAUUCAAACUCUAACAUAAGUUAAAAUCAAUUAUAAAAAAAAAAAAUCAAUUAUAUUUGAGAACAUCCAAAUAUGUAAAAAGCACAUUUAAACUUUUAGUGUAAUUUUUUUGCAUCGUAGCAGUAAUGAGGAAUGAGGCCCUUCAACCAAAUCUAUAUUAGGAAGAACUAUCAAUCUCAAUGAAUAUUUAUAAUGAAAUUUAUACAUAACCUACUAGGUGAAUAAUUUCAUGCUUGACCAAUGAAUUAAUUUUUUUUAGUGACAAUUUUAAUAUCUUUUUUGACUCACAAUUUGAUUACUUUUUUUUAGAGAGGCACAAUUUUAAUAGUUAUUCAAGCAACCAAGGAGUUAAUCAUGAUUGCAAAAUCUAAACCCGAUUAAGAGGGAAGAGCUCCAAAUAUGAUCUAAUAGAUUUGGAGAUAGCCAUCAAUUAAAUAGAAGUAUACCAUAUUGUUUAGAAGAACCAUAUCGAUCUCGUUUGAAAGGUGGGUUUUUUUAUACAAAUUUGAAAGGUGGUGGACUUGCACCAUAUUGUUUUUGCUUAGUUUUUUUUAUGCAAAUAUAAAAAAUACCUCCAAUUUCACUAUUGCGCCGUCAGUUCAAUGCAUUUUCAUUCCACAAUAUCAAUAAUUUUGUUUGACUAAUAAGAUACUCAAGGCACAAUUAGUGAAAGAAUAAAGAGGUUUGGUGAUGGCCAUGGUGGGACUAUGGCUUCAACGUCCCUUGAAGAGCUUUCUCAAACUUUCUUUUGAAGUUUUUCAAUGAAUUAAUACUUUAUAAUUAUAGAUACGAUCUUUAAAGAUUGCAGAAAGAAACGAGUAAAUUUUAAAUCGGUUAGUUAUGAUACUCCAUUAGAUUUUGUUGUUGGUUGUUGUUUAGAUUACAGGAAGUAGUAUGUAAAUAAUUCUUUACAUAUUUGUUGUUGUUUUUAUCUGUCAAUUACAUGUUAACACUAGAGUUUUUCAACAAAAGGGGGACUCCAUUAAUCAUCUCGUAGAAAAGGUUAAGUUUCAAUUCUUCUAGUAGUUGAAGGCAAAUCAUCCUAGUUUUGCUUUUUCUUACCACAUGUGGUGGCUUAACACACUCUCAUAUUUGGGAGUUUUUAUUUAGCUCCGGUCUCUUUUAUUCUUUUUAGUCUUUGCCUACAUUUUGGCUAUAUCACUAAGUUUUUGUUCUUGUUGUCCAUAUGUAACUGAUAUUUUUAUUCUUUAGUUCUUCUCUGGCACAUCUUGAGCUAGAGCGACUAGCAAAUCUGGUCAUUCAAUUCCAUUUUAAUUUCUUAAAAAAACAAAAAGUUUAUAUUAACUACCAACAUGUUUGUUGGGAGAAUUGACAAUGUUGUGAUAAAAGAAACUAGGUCACGACCAAUUUGAGGAUUAGUCCUAUAGUUGAUUCAAAAGAAUAUUGUUGAUAAAAAAGAGAUUGUGUUAAUUAAUUUUUACGUCAAUGAUAUCCUUAAUAACAUGGAAAAAUAAAUCUUAGACAAAAAAAACAUGGAAAAAUAAAUAAUUUCGUAAAUAAAACUAUUUAGGAUUUUUUUUUAAAAUUCCGGACAGUACAAAAUGUAUUUAUUUAAAUUAAAAUAAAAACAUGAUGAACGAUCAUACUUCAAUCACACUUAAUUUAUUUAAAAAAAAUUAUUUCAUCAUAUCCAUAAUUUUAAAAAAAAAAAAGUAAAUUCUCUCAUCCAUCGCCCUCCUACAUAAUAUGACACACCCUUAAUUUGUGAAAACAAUCAUAAUAUGACACACAAAAAAAAAAAAAAAAAACAAAGAUAGUACCACAUCCAUCCUUAAAUAUGAUUUUUUUUUUUUAUAGGUUCUUUAUUAUCCUUUUUUAUAACACACUUUUCAAAUUUUCAACUUUAUUAACUACUCCAUUUCUUUAAUUCUUUAUCCACAUUUUCUUAAUUACAUUAAAUAUUUUUCUACGACAUGCUAUAACUAAUACCACUCUCGUUUUUUUUUUUUUUUUUUUUUUUUUUAAAUAUUGAUAUGUUCUCUCUCUCUUUUUGAUAACACUCUUGUCAAAACUUAGGACAUUAAUUUCAUCAAACUAGAUCAGACUACACUUUUUGAUCUACUCUUGGUUAGUUUUGAUUUCUAUUUCUUUUAUCUAAUUAUUGUGUCGAUUUUGGCAUUAUAUGAUGAUUUAGGAUUUCUUUGGAAAUUUUUAGGCUGUUUCCGAUUAAUGUGAUUUAGACCUUUCAAGUGUUUGAAAUUGCAAUUUUAUUGGUUAAGUGAUGCAAUAUUAUUAGUAGUAGGUUCUCUCUUUGUCAAACUUAUCAACUUGUUCAAAUUCAGAAGUGCCUUAAGCUCCAGACUUUGAUUUUAUGUUUUUCUUUGUGAAAGGUUUUUUAUAUAGAAAUUUGUAUACUCACAUUCUUUUCAGAUUGUUUCUUGUGUUGAAGUGGAUACAUUUUUUAUAUUUGAUAUAUAACAUUGUUUUCAUUUUGUGUUUAAGGGAAACACGUUUUUUAAAUUUUGAUAAAAUAUCACACCCACUAUACAAAACUUUGAAGGCUAAAUUAUUUCUCUACAUUUGAACAUUAUUAUAAAAAUUGGAACUAAAGUGAACAUAUCAAUAUUUUUUAAGUUAAUACAGAAAUCAUAGUGUUAUCUUAAAUCAAACAAACUAAAAAGAGUUAUGAAUUAUUGAUAAGAUAAUCAAAGAGUACAUUAUGAAUAAAAUUGUAAUCAAUUUUGUGUAUUUUAAAAAAUGCCAAUUUUUUUAGCAUAAAAGAUUACCAUAAAUCAUCCAAAUACAUAUUCAUUAGUAUUACUAAUAUUAGGACAACAUACAUCAUCCAAGUACGUAUUCAUUAGUGUUAAUAAUCUCACCAAUCAAUACCUAUAAACAAAUACAAAUAUGUUUUGUUUUGUUCAUGGUUUUUCUCAAAAUGCAUUUGCAACCGUUAGGUUUGUCUGAAUUUUCCCCCACAAUAAAUUUUCCAAAACACACAAAAUUUGAGUUUUCCCCCAUUUGUUAAAAAAAAUGUGGUUGGAGGUACCUACCUUUGGUAUGGGUAGGAAACAGAAAUGGUUGUAACCAGUGUCAGUAAUGGUAUCGUCAAGUGUGGCUAGAUUGCUCUGCGGCUGAUAGAGAAGCUUUCUUAUAAGGUGGUUAGUUAACUGUUUCUACAUUUUUAUGUUCACAUAACAUGAGGGUUAAAUAGAAUGUUAUUUCAUUUCGUGAUUGUCCUCGAAGGUUAAAUAAAGACUUGUAAUGGACAACUACAUAAUAGUGUGGUCGUGUUUGUACUUGGAGAGCAUGUAUUAUAUAUCAACUAUAAGUGAAACUUGACUUAAUUGGAAAUACAUAAUAUAGCUUUAUUUCUUCGUUUAUUAUUUAUGCAUAUAACUGAGUUGUGUACUGUAAAAUACAUGUUACUAUUAUAUUAUUUGGGUUUAAAUUUAAUAAGUCGUUCUCUAAAUUUAUGGGGUGAUUAUGUUUGUGGAUCUCUUCUUUAUUGAUUCCUUAUUCCCUAUAUUGUAGCAAUUUUCUUUUUGAUGCCAAUUUAUAUAUGUCAUAAUUUACUUCCCCUUUUUUAUGCGAACAAUUGUAAAUGAUAUAAUCCUGAUUUUUGGAGAAUCAAUGUUGCUGAUAUUGUAACCCAUCUUAUUUACAAAAAUAUAUAAAUAUUUUAUUUAUCAUUUUAUUGUUGGAUCAUGAAGUAGAUGUGGGGAGGAUAACGAAGAUGAGAAUAUAUAGACAAAGAUAAUUGAUCAAACUUUUUUUUUUUCGACGCCUCUGAUGUGACUAAAGGGGUAUUCCGUGUUUGUAAGGGAUGACGCUCCCUUUGGCGCGACCUGUCUUGCGGAAGACAAUUAAUUUGUUAACGCUAAAAAGUUGUAGUAGAAAUCCAUCAAGAAGAUAUACUAAUACACAACAUUGAUUACAAAUUUAUUUAUAAUGUACUCUUUAAUUAUCUGAUCAAUAAUUCAUAACUCUUUGGGUUUGUUUGAUUUCAGAUAACACUAUGAUUUCAGUAUUAACUUAAAAAAUAAUGAUAUUUUCACUUUAGUUCUGGUUUUCAAUAUAAUGUACAAAUGUAGAGAAAUAAUUUAGCCUUCAAAGUUCUGUAUAGUGGGUGUGAUAUUUUAUCAAAAUUAAAAAAUGUGUUUCCCCUAACACACAAAAUGAAAACAAUGUGAUAGAUCAAAUAUAUAAAAUGUGUCCACUUCAACAUAAGAAAUAAGCAGAAGAGAAUGUGAGUUUACAAAUUUCUAUAUAGAAAACCUUUCACAGAGAAAAACAUAAAAUUAAAGUAUGGAGUUUUGGGUGGUGUUUUUGGGAGAUUUCUAGCUGCUGGUUUUGCUGGGUAGGUAGUGCUGCUGUAUUAGUGCAGAUGCUGUCGGCUACCUUUUCAGGACCUUGGGUUUGUUCAUGUUUUUAGGGGUGGUUUUUAAAGGGUUUUUGUUCGAGCUGGUGUUAUUGUGGCAAUCGAUUUCCCCUUAUAUUGUUUUUUUCCACCUGAGCUUAUUAGUGCAUCUUGCACGGGCUUGUUGGUUAAUAAAAAUUUUACCGAUUCAAAAAAGAAAGUAUGGAGCUUAAGGUACUUCUUAAUUUGAACAAGGCAAUAAGUUUGACCUAAAGAACCUAAUACUAAUACUAUUGCAUCACAUAAACAAUAAAAUUGCAGUUCUAAAUAGUUGAAAGGUCUUGCUAAAUCACAUUAAAUGGAAACAACCCAAAAAAGUCGAAAGGAAGAAACCCCGAAGUUUUGUUUUUAUUUUAUCUAUUAGUCUGUCUUAGAUUUUCUUAAUUUUAUAUUUUGUGAUAAACACAAAUGGCUCGAAAAAUAAUAUGAGCAUAUGCGUACUUGUAUGUAAAUUGUGUUAGUUAUGAGAAAGAUUUAAUGUCUUCAUCAAACCUACCCCCGUAAAUGUGACUUAUGUUUCAUGCAUAUUCAUCUUCCCUAGAUAGAUGAGUAUGCAUAACAAAACUAGUAUAUAUAUUAAGUAACUCCAUGUUAAAGAAGUGCAUGAAUUACAUAUCUUACAUUUUUUAUCAAAUUUGAUCCUUUUUUUUUUUUAUCAAGCUUGAUCCUUAUUUUAAUGCUUAUAAUUUUCUCCAAGAUAUAUAAAAAAAAAACUAAACCAACAUUGAUAUUAAAAAACAUAUUGUUUAUGAGUUACAUGCGUUAGCCCAGUAGAAAUAGCGGACAGAUUAACUCAAUAUUUGACAGUCUUUGGUUUCUAAUUUUCAUAACAUUUGUUAAAUGGAUAAGAUUCAUCACGUUACUUCUUAGUAAUGUGUAUGCAUCAAUGUUCAAAAACAAUAUCUACUAAAGUAGGGGUCAUACUACAGAGUAAUCUAUUGUUUUGUUGCUAACUAUAUAUAAUUUUUGACCAACGUAUAUAGAAUAUUUGACCAACCUUAUCAAUUGAUUAAUUCGUUGAUCUUGGGUCCCUGGAUGGAAAAUAUCUUUGUUCCCAAAACUAGUUUUUAAGACAAGUUUUUAUUUUGAGAAAUGAUAUUUUGACAAGACAAUCUAUGUGACAAUUUUAUCUCUCAUACUCAUAUUAUUUUUUUACUUUCUCUCUAUUACUUUGGUUUCCGUGUCACUAUUACUUUCCUUUGUAAAUUAGUGGUUGUCACAAAAAUUGUCACUCAAAUAGUUGUUCAAAUAACGCACCUCAUUUAUUUUUAUUUUUAUUUAGAAUGGAAAAGAUAUUUGUUCCCAAACCUGGUUUUUAUGACAAGUUUUGUUUUUUUGUUUUAGAAAAUGCCAAUUUUUUUAGCAUAAAGGAUUACAUACAUCAUCCCAGUACGUAUUCAUUAGUGUUACUAAUAUCACUAAUCAAUACUUGAAAAGAAACUGAUCAAAUUUGAACUUCACUUGAGAGAAAUACUGAACAUAACCAUAUCUCUACUUUAAUGAACAAAUACUUUCUGAGAACACCCUCCCUUUGAAAACCAGCCUUCUUCAACACCCUCAGAGAAGCCACAUUUUCCAUUAAAUGCAACUUCAACCACUUGUAUCACAAUUAGUUUGGCAAUCCCUUUGCCCCAAUACAUGGAACAUAUAACAUAGCAAAGUUCAUCAAAUUUGUUCCUGCAUCUAUCUGAACACGACCAGAAAUCGAUACACCCUAUUACUCGAUCGCGAAGGCAUAUAGCUCUGAACCUUAGAGAUUUGCUUGCUAUGUUUUGGAUGAAGCCAAUACCUUCUUCUUUGUUUGAAUAAGGUUUCCCAAGUGCAAUACUUGGCCACUUUUUCAUCACUAGUCACAACAAGAGAUCAUCAAGAUCGGAAAGACUAAUGGGUCGAAGAGAUAUUUGAGUCAAGUCAACAACACGCUCUUUGGCAUGUGAGAUAUUGUUCGAUUUGUCUAAAUAUAUAUUUUUAAAAUAUUAAACUUUUAUAAUUUUUUACAUUAAAUAAUUAAAGAUAUUAAAAGUUAAAAUUAUACAUUGACUAAAGUGAUUGCGUGCGACAUCAUCAUCAGUUUUAAAAUACAUGUCAAUGGAGUAUGAUGUAGUAUAUUAAAAAAUUAAAACUCUAAGGAUUAGAUCAAUGGAGAUUCAGUUAUGAUAAGGAAAGUUUUAGGCAUGGCAAUUUACUUUAGUCAAAAAAGGAAUAGUCCAAACUUGGGAGCCAAACCCAAAAGGUAGUUUUGUUUUGGAAAUUGGGUAUUCUUUUCAAGAGAGGCAUGUAUGUAUUAUUGGACACCUAGGAAUUCAAAGGUAAUACGGGCGGCGCUUGAGACUAAAAACAAAACAAAACAAAAAAAUGAAGAAAAAUAUCCCAACCUCCUAGUGAUGGAAGCUAUUAAUAAUGAAUAAAAGAAAAUCUUAACCCCAAAGUCUAAACUCUAAACAUACUUAGCAUUUAGCAACAUAAAAGACAUGUUAAUGGUAGCUUCUAGCUUUCUACUAACAGUUAAAAGCAGUGAGGGGAAGGGAGACAUCAGCAGCAUGGCCAAGGCAACACCAUAAAAUUGGGUAAGCUGCCAUUGUUUUUAAAGACAUGGAUUGAAUGGUAGCUCAGAGCCAAAAGGACCUCAAAGGCAAAGCAUCCACUGGCACCAUACCUAUCAUCAAUCUAUGGAAUCAAACGUCACAUUGCUUCAUAUAAAAUUAUACUCCUAAAUGAGAAACUCUAUUGUUAUUUUUUCCCCCUCUUACAUAUUAGUAUGUUUGCUUUUAUUAUUAUAUAAUGAUAAUAAUAAUAUAUAAAUGUUUUUUAAAAUCGGAUGAUUGAAAUGACAAGACCUUCAAAUCAUGGUUCAAUUAGUUUAAUCUGAUUGAUUUUUUUUAUUUUAUCACAACCUCGAUUGAAUUAGAUAUCAAACAUAUACUGGUAAUAAAUUAAUAAAAAACAUAAAAAUAAAUGAAAAAUACAAAAACUAUAAAUGGUUUGAACUAAACUAUAAUUCAACCUAGUUCAACCACUGUUGUUCAAUCAAAAUCAAACAAAAAAGAUAAACCAAACAGGUGCACUGUUAAAGUUUUAAAACAGUAGUACAAAGCAAUGAAAUGUCAUUACCAGAAUGCUUCUCUUCCAAACAUUCCCUGUCCAACAAAAGAAAGGGAAAAAAAAAACACAAUAACAUUAUUAUUUACAUUACACAAGACCCUUUAUCUUUAUUUUAUCUCUUUAACUGCUUUUGCUUUAAUUGUAAGACCGAAAAUGUACUAAAACUGUAGAAAGAAUGCAGCUACAGGAUCCUAUUAGGUCUCACUUCAUACUUCACACAUUUCACAAUGACAACAACAACAACUCCUCUCCACUUUGCUGACUAAUAGGGCAGCCUUUGUCCAACUGACCGAGUCGUUUAUACAGAAACCUUAAAGCUAUAAUAUCCUGCCCGUUGCCCCCUUUGUCUCGGGCUAAGGUUGUCACAACUAAACUUAGUGGCUCUUGUCAACUAGUAUCCCGAUCACUUUUACAUAAAAACUUAAUUGUUUUAAUUGCUUAAUCAAUGUCUUUAAACUACUAUUUAACAUUCUUCAAACUUAAUUUAACGGAAAACUGAUACAUGAAAUAUCCAUUUUCGUACAUAUGCACGAUAUUUGGUUAGUUACGGUAAAAAAUAUGAUUAAUUUAGGUCCCGUUUGGAUUGACUUAUUUUGAACUUAUAUGAGCUUAUCUACUUGCAUAAGCCUUUUUAAAGGUGUUUGGGUAAAUAAAUAAAAAUAGCUUAUCAUAGUUUCAUAAACUGCUUAUGCCAUAUUUUAAUAAGCCUAAAUUUUCAGCUUACCCUCCGGCUUAACAAGGAGCUUAUGAAUUUAUGUAACUUCCUUCGAUUCUCUCUAGAUCCACUUUUUCAAAACAUAUAUUUUAAUUAUAACUUUUUUUGAAGGAAUAUUUUAAUUAUAAUGUUAUUUAUCUUUGGUGCUGCAUGAGUAACAAAAUUGCUAUAUACUUAUCUUACUAAAGUAACACAUGCAACUAAGAAUUUUUUUUUUUGAAGAAAUAUUUUUAUUAUUUUUUUGUUACGUAACAAAAUGAAACUGAAUAAAAAAAACAAACUUAACUUGUCUUUUUUUUUGUAACAAACUGUACACUAAUAUCUAUAUAUAUGAUAAGUUUAUUUACACCUCUAAUGUUAAUUUUGUCUUAUAUGAAUAUUGAUAUUUUUUUAAGGAUAAAUAUUGAUUAUACUAUAUAUAUAUAUAUAUAUAUAUAUAUAUAUANNNNNNNNNNNNNNNNNNNNNNNNNNNNNNNNNNNNNNNNNNNNNNNNNNNNNNNNNNNNNNNNNNNNNNNNNNNNNNNNNNNNNNNNNNNNNNNNNNNNNNNNNNNNNNNNNNNNNNNNNNNNNNNNNNNNNNNNNNNNNNNNNNNNNNNNNNNNNNNNNNNNNNNNNNNNNNNNNNNNNNNNNNNNNNNNNNNNNNNNNNNNNNNNAAACAUAAAUAGCUUAUCAAGUAUAAGAGCUUAUGAUGUAAGCUCUAAUGUUAUAAGCUCUAAUGCUAUAAACAUCUAUAUAAACUGUUUAUCCAAACGGGACCUUAGUUGAAUAAAGUGAAUUGAAUUAAGGGUUAGUCAAUUGAAUUUGAGAUAUUCUUCUAUAGUCACAUGACAAAAUGAAUAACGUUUAAACACACACAUACACAAUUUUAUCUCCAAAAUAUUAAAUAAUUUUUUUAUAUUAUUAAAAAUAAUCUUUUUAUGUAUGUGACUGAGCGCUAUUCAUUUGGUAAUACUUCAAUUAGAUGACACAUUUGGUGUAAGAAAAAAGAGUCAUGUCCAUGAAACAUACUCCCUCAGUCCUAAAUUGUAUGUCGUUUUAAGAAGAAAAAAAAUUGUCCCAAAUUAUACGUCGCUUUACAAUACCAAUGCAACAUUAAUGUUACUUUUCUUAUUAUAACCUUAACUAUUUAUUACUAUAUUUUCUUUCAAUUAUCUUUCCCAUAUUAUUUAUUAAGAACAAUUUUGUAAAACAACUCAUAAUGUUUUUUUUCCACACAAUAUAUGUAAAAUGCCCAAAACAUCAUACAAUUUAGGACGGAGAGAGUAUUUGUUAAUUUAAUAUUAAUAAAGGUCUUGUAUGGUCUCUUUUACUGUGCUUUAUUCUGUUCAAAUUCGAUACUUUGUUUGCUAUGUUUGUUACAUAGAACGAGGAGAUUGCUUUCUCUUUCUAUCUCUAACCUUACUGCAUUGUCUUGUUCUACUUAUUACUUCAGAAUCUCUUCUCACUUCCAUGCAUUAUUCUUAAAGUGCUAUUCUUGUUCUCUCUCUUAUUUAUGGGAAUUUGCUUCAUUCUUCUUCUUCUUCUUAGUACACUUUUAAAUAUUAUAGUAUAGCAAGAUCAUACAUAGCACUUACAAGAAGAUAACAAGGAAACAAAUGAACUUGGUCUUGUUUCUUAACUCAAAAUAUCACUGAAAUAUCAGAAACUGGCUUGGGAGUUGUAGAAACUUGCUAGGGAGGUGUAUGAAGUAGAAGUGUCAAAAUGGGAGAUGAGAAUUCCAAGAACACCAAGGUUUUUGACAAUUAUUAUUAUUUCAAUAUUUUAUUAUGCUGGUGUUUGCAUAUUGCAAGUUGUUAACUGUUAUGUCUAUAUGUUGUUUGAUGAAUUAGCUCUCAUGGUCAAAGAAAAUGGUUAGAAAGUUUUUUAAUUUCAAAAGCAAAUGUGAAGAUAUUCAAGCAGAUGCUGUUGUUUAUGGAGGUUAGUAUCUUUGUUUUUUCUUCAAAAUUCACUUUUUAAUAGUGAUCAAUUUCAACAAUUUAUUCUUCAAUUAUUAUCUUUGUUGAAUAAUAAGUUAGAUUGCUACAAUUUCUUGGCAUCCAAAUAAACUCAGUUACUGUUUUCCUUCUUUAGGAGGUGAGGUUGAAUAUGGAAGUAGGAAUAGCUUCUCUGAGAGAGAACCAUGCACAAUCAAAAAGAGCAAAACAGGUGAACCAUUUCUUGAAUCAUGUCCUUUUGAAGUUCUUCUUGAUGGUAUCAUUUAAAAUGCUGAUAUUUAUAUUUGCACAAAUUGUUUAUAACCCUUCAUUGCUAUGAACAGAGAAGUUUAGCAGGAGCACGAGUCAGGUUAGGCGAGGAAGAAUGAAUCUUGACCAUCCUCGAAUUAUCGAUGUGCAGAACUAUAGGUAUCCUACUUCAAUUUUACCAAGAAAAAUAAAAUAAAAGGCUUUGUUCUGUUUCUCAUGAAUUGUGAACAUUGAGCAGCAUUUUUGUAGCAACAUGGAAUGUAGCUGGAAGAUCCCCACCAAGUAAUUUGAGUGUAGAUGAUUGGCUUCAUUCCUCACCUCCAGCUGACAUUUAUGUUCUUGGGUAAGAAUUGUUGCUUGACGACAUUUAUAGUCUUCUCCCGAAAUUGGCAAUAAUUGUUCGGUUAAAUAUGUUUUUAGUUCAUAUAAUUAUCUCAAAUUCUGCUUUUAGUCCCUACUCACACUUCUGAGUCUCUACAAAUUACAAAACUGCAUGAUUUUAGUCUCUAAAGAGGGACUACAAGUAUAAGGUUUUGUGAUUUGUAGGACUGAAAAGUUGGUACAGGGACUAAAACAAAAAAAAAAUGUAAAUUUGAUAGCGACUAAAAUAUAUUUAACCCUUAACUGCUUUAUCGAAUGACAUAUUUUUCUAUUCUGAAUCUUUACCUUUCUCUUGCAGAUUUCAAGAGAUAGUUCCGUUGAAUGCCGGUAAUAUCCUAGGGGCAGAGGACAAUGGCCCUGCCAAAAAAUGGCUGGCUCUUAUCAGAAAGACUUUAAACAAUCUUCCUGGAACCAGUGGAAGUAGUGGAUGCUAUACACCGUCUCCAAUUCCUCAGCCAGUUGUAGAGCUGAAUGCAGAUUUUGAGGGAUCAGCUAGGCAGAAGAAUUCGUCUUUCUUCCACAGGCGAUCAUUCCAGACAACUUCUAGUGGUUGGGGAAUGGACAAUGAUCCUUCACUUGUGCAACCACAAGUUGAUCGAAGAUACAGUGUUUGCGAUCGUGUAAUUUUCGGUAACAGGCCUAGUGACUUUGAUCCUAGUUUAAGAUGGGGUUAUAGGCCUAGUGACUAUUCAAGGGCAAGUGACUACUCGAGACCGAGUGACUAUUCAAGAUGGGGAUCGUCUGAUGAUGACAAUGGCCUUGUGGAUUCACCGAGUACAGUCUUAUAUUCACCAAUGUCCACUAAUGGUGGAUCUGCCUCUAAUGAAGAUGGAUAUAGCAUGCCAGGACAUUCAAGGUACUGCCUCGUUGCAAGUAAGCAAAUGGUGGGAAUCUACCUUACCGUAUGGGUGAAAGGCGAACUGAAAGAUCAUGUCCGAAACAUGAAAGUAUCGUGUGUUGGCAGAGGAUUGAUGGGAUAUCUAGGAAAUAAGGUGAAUUUUUUAACUCAUUCAUAACAAUCCUAACUUCUGUUUUUCUUUAGAGUAAUUUAUUUUACGGUGAAAAUGAUGGUUACUUAGGAUUGGCUUAUAUGAGAGUUAUUUUGGUUGGAUUUUGCAGGGGUCCAUCUCAAUUAGUAUGUCUGUGCACGAAACAAGCUUUUGCUUUAUUUGCAGUCAUUUAACCUCAGGACAGAAAGAGGGUGAUGAACUAAGAAGAAAUUCUGAUGUUAUGGAGAUUCUUAAAAAGACAAGGUUUCCUCGUGUUCAUGGUGUUGACAACGAGAAAUCUCCUCAGACAAUCCUCGAGCACGAGUAAGAGUCUUCUCAUAUAUUCAUCUAUGAUUGAAGUCAUGUUUGAAAGAGUUUAUUUGUGCUCAUCUCAUAAUUUGACUAUUUAUAUUAGUGUUUGGAUACAUUUAUAAAAAUAGUUUAUUUCCACAAGAUCCACAGAAUAACUAAUGGUUAAUUAAGCUCAUUUGAAUAACAUAUUGAAUAAGCAUUUAAUUAGAAUGCACUCUGUAACAGUUAAGUUUAUGAUUGUCUUUUUUUCUCAUUAAGCAAAAGCUUUUGCAUUUUCUCAUUUUAAAUUCAUUACUGUAGUCGAAUUAUAUGGCUUGGAGAUUUGAAUUAUCGGAUCGCUCUCUCCUACCGUUCUGCUAAGGCACUUGUUGAGAUGCAAAACUGGAGAGCAUUGCUAGAAAAUGAUCAAGUAUGUCUCGUUCAUGUUACCAUUAACCUCAUGUUUGCUGUUUAAGUUACAUAAUAAUCCUAACUAUUGACACUCAUGGCAGUUGAGAAUAGAGCAAAAAAGAGGCCGCGCUUUUGUGGGAUGGAACGAAGGGAAGAUAUAUUUUCCUCCAACUUACAAAUAUUCAACUAAUUCAGAUCGAUACUCAGGAGAUGAUAUGCACCCCAAGGAAAAAAGGAGAACACCUGCUUGGUAAGAUUAUCACAUCACCUAAUAGGAUUUUAUAAAAUGAAGUAUGUUUCAUGAUAUAUGAUAUAAUUUUAUUAAACUGUUACAACCUACGAAGACAUGAACAUUUUUCUUUUUAUAGGUGUGACCGUAUUCUAUGGUAUGGAGAAGGACUCCAUCAAUUGUCUUAUGUUCGCGGUGAAUCAAGAUUUUCAGACCACCGACCUGUUUAUGGCAUAUUUUGGGCUGAGGUUGAGUCACCUCACGGAAAAUUGAAGAAAAGUAUGAGUUGUUCUCAGUCAAGAAUUGAGUUGGACGAACUUUUGCCAUAUUCCGGUGGAUAUACUGAACUAAACUUUUUCUAAAGAAGGGAAGGUUGAACAGGAGACGUGUCCAUCCAUAUUCAAGUACCUUUUCUAUCCCUUAUAGACUCUCAUAAUCAUGAUUUUAAGAUAGUGGAAAUUAAGCAACUUAGUGUUUGUACUUUUUUUUUCUUUUUAUAAGCUCAUUCAAAUACAACAUACAAAUAGAAAAACAAAAAACUAUGUGCAGGACCCUAAGCAAACAUGACCCUGCCCCAAAAGGGGUCCCAAGCUUUUCUUUAUAAUAUUGUUGGUUAGACCAAAAGUACAAGAUUCUGAGGCUGUAACUGAUUUAUAUGGACUUGAACAUAAUAGAGUGGAGUAGUGGAUCAUUGCAUCAUGCAAUGAAUACAUACAGCCUAAAGAAUAUACCUAUAUGAUCUUUGACAUUAGUCUGCUUGUAUUUACUUAACCGAGCUUAUCUAUUGUUAUCAUCAGGCUCAGCACUUGUGAGACUGCUUGCGAGAGUUAUAAACAACUUAUGACUUGUCUAUAAGUUGCUUUUAACUUAUUUCCAUUAGCUCUCCAAGAUUGCUUAUGUAAAAAGUUUCUAGCGUAUGCAUAAGCACUUAUGCCAGAAGCGCUCAAUUAAUUUGAAAGGCAACAUAAACAAACUAUUUUUACAGUAUAGUCUGAAAAGUCAAUAUCUCAUUCUCUUAUACAUUGAAAGUCCUUUUGUUCUUUUCUUAUUGUCAUUAGAAUUAUUCUUUUCACUUGAAUUAGAAAUCUUACAUGCGCCUGUUACUGUUUCAGAAAAUGGUCCCCUUUUACCAAUAGGGAUUUUACUUUGAAGAAAUACUUUCAUGGAGGGAGAUAGAUAGGGACAACCCAUUUCCCAUAUACCGAAAAAGGUUAGUUUUUCUUCUCUCUUUCAUGCUUUUCUUUGUGUUCUGCUUUUGCCUCAUUUCUUUGUCUAAUUUUGCCUUCACUUUAUCUUUUUCAGUUUCUAAUCUCUAGUUUUGGUGCUUUGCCUAACACAUGAUAUGAUCAAUACAACACAUCAUCUUGAUACCAAAUUAACAAACACUUGAGUUUCCACUUUAACAAUCAUUAGGUAAUACUGCAUUGUUAUUAAAUAUUAAAGUAUUAAUACUAGUUUAUGUUUUAUCUUAAUUAAGAACAAUAUUUACAUGCUUACUAAUGAUUAAUUUUUUUAUUUUAUUAUGCAGGUAGUUGAUGAAGAGGAUUUUUUUAUUCAAUAUUUUUUAAUUGUUUUUAGGGAAUAUUUAUGAUGACUGAAUGUAGUUGAAAGAUUGUCAGAAUAAUCAUUUGUGCACUAACUUUCUUUUUUAAUGUAAUGUAAAGAGAAUGAGAGUUUUGAUGUAUAGUGGAUUGCUGCAACAAUAUAAUUGAGUAAAGAAAAGGAACAAAAAAGAAAUUGAAGUUCAUUAUAUAGAUUCCAAAAACUCUCUUGUGCUGAGUUCUCUGUCUAUGUCUGCAUGAUAAUUUUUGUACUGAUAAAGUUGGUUUUGACAUCAAAAUCAAAUAGUAAAGCUCUUCUUUUUACUAAUAAGGAACAGUAUUCGAGUAUUUAACAAACCAAAAGAGGCAUGCAAUUUUGGCGGGAAUAAUAAUUGUUGGAGGCUCUAAUACAAUAAGGCCCUACAACUCUUUGAAGAUGCUAUUUACAUUCCUUUCAAUUGCUGCUGCUGGUGUUUACUUUUGACUAGGUGGACUUUAGCUACUUUACAUUAUCAUCUGUUUUGUUGUUUUGUGUGUAUCUAUUUAAGAUCCCUAAGAAAAGUAGAAACAAUAACAGUUGCAGAAAAAGACUAAUGCUAAAUCAUUAUUUGAGUAAUACUAGUUCCUAUUCAAUUUUGUGGCUGAUUUUUGCUCAUGUCACAGUUAAGAAUCAUUCAUUCAUGAGAUCUCAACAGUUCAACUACUUUGUCUGUAUGCCUUCUAGAGAGCCACUUCAUACCACUCAAAUGCGUGUGAACUUGAGAACCCGUGCAAUGCGCGUGAGAAAUUUGUCGAAAGAAUUUACGUCAGUUAUGAAUUUUAAUUUGUUGUGUUUGGUUAUUGAAUAACAAAAACACUUAACAGUAAAUCAGUAAAUCACAGUAUCACAAGAGACAUACAUCAGUGUUGUCUGUCAACUGUUAAAUACACCUUUUAUAAAACUAAACAUAACAUCAAAACACAACAAUAAUAUUUAAGAAGAAAAUGUGGAUACAUAACAUGCAAUAUCAAAAAAUUAGUUGUGUAAUACUAACUGGUUACUAAAUAUGUCACAAUGCAUACAGCCAACAGAAGUUACUGGUGAGGACUGAGGAGGGUAAACUAAGUGCUCUGCAAUCCACAAUAAUUACUUCAGGGUAUUGUUUUAAAAGCAUUUUCAUAAAAAGAGAGAUAAUUGUACACAAAUGUGAUGUGAUGAUAGGAGUUAGAGGUGGCUUAGCUUUGGUGUUCAGGAUUGGGAGUUUAGUCUUGAGGGUUUUUUUUCUUUGGGGGUGAGUAGUGACGAUGGGCAGUGUUGGAUAUCGGUGGUCGUUUUCGUGAAGGAGUCUGUUUUAGGUGGUGACGUGAAUUUUGGUGGGUGUUGUCCUCGGGGGUGUUUUUUAGGGUGUUUAUUUUCGGGUGUUCCGCCUACAUACGGGCGCCUUUUGUUUGUAUGCUCAAUUUCACCAAUCUCUGUUCGUCUUGAGCAAGAAUUUGGUUGUUUAAUAAAAUUUGCAUGUGAUAUGAUGAUAUAUUUUGGCAACAUGAGCUUAGUGUCCAUUGUGAAAUGGGAAAAUAAUAAUAAAAUGUACUAUCUUCAGUCGCUUGAAUAAUGGAUCAUUAACUUACAUGUAAUACUAAUAACUCAAUUGUUGCAAAUUGUGACAACUUGAUAACUGGCCAUGUUUGAAGGUGACAACCUAUAAGUUUCUUAGUGAGAAGAUAAUCCAUCUGAAAGCCACUUAACAUAACUAAAAACAGUCUCUAAGCCUUUAAUAAGGGGUCAUUAGUUUGAGUUUCUUGGGAUAAAGGUUAACCAUGCUUAUAUAAGAGGGGAGUGGUUUCUCUUCAUUUAUUUAAAAAUUAAGUUUCCUAUAGUUAAAAGUAAUUGAUCAAGGGGCUAUGAUUAGUGAGCUUCAUAUGAAAAAUCCUUUACUAUAAACUGGAUGGUUAAUUAAAAAAAAAGUAAUUGAUUAAGUUCAUUCUAAAGUUCAUGAAAGCAUUAUAACUACCUUUGACACCCUGUUGUUUUACAUGCAUCCUAUAAUUAUGCUAUAAUUUACAAUCAAGUCCAUUCAAUUCCAUUCAACUACUAACACAUGCAUGGGUGGCAUCUGAUGUGGCUUAGUUCUUAUCUAAUUUAAAUCAAACAACAACUUUGACACAUUGUCUAACUUUAUGUCACAGCUAUACAAUGUGUCGAGUAUAAAACAGAUAAAUCAAAAGAGGCAUGGCUGUUAUAUUCCUGGUCUAAACUGCAAUAUAUAAAAGAAAAGAAAAGGUUUCAUGGGAUUUUCAUUAAUAGUUUGAUAGUGAAUCUCACAAUUCAUCAAAUAUAUGUUGUUGAAACCCAAGAGCAUUUUGAGCAUCUUCAAUGAAGAUAUUUAUGCAAGUUUUAUAGAAUGAUGAAUCUUUUUUUUUCUUUUUUCUUUUUGGAGGAACUAUGAUGCGACUGUAUGGGUAGAAGAUAAAUAGUUUAAAUAAGCUACCGUUGCAUACGAAAAAUCAUUCAAAAUGAGUUACAUAAAAGUUGAGUGCAAAUAAAAAAACCAUAAAAACUGAGUUUCAUAAAGUUGUUUAAUUUAUUAUCAUUGGAGUAAAAUAUGUUUGAGUUGCAUAAGUGUGAUAUGACAUUGUGGGAGCCACUUAAUAUUAUAAAAGAAUCAAAUUUGUGUUCCUUAUAAACUUGUAAUUGAAGAUGCUUUUAGAUGAGAUGCUAAAGGAUCUCUCUCAAUUAAACUCGAGAUCAUAAAUUCGAAUCAAGUUUUGCCGGAGAACAUGAGUUCGAAUCAAUUAAACUGGAGAUCGUUAAAUUUUUUUAGAGAGAACUUUUCCGUUUUUUGCAGUGCAACCCAACUCAAUGGAUUAGUCUAAAUAGUUGCGCGCAUGAGAUACACGUUCACACACAAAAAAAAAGUAUGUUGUUGAAGAAGCAACAUUUCAUAACGACAUGGGCUUGUCUCAAUCUUGGUCAUAGCUUUGGAUUUUGUUUGUAAGUAGCAACUGGUGGGAAAGAAUUUGAAAGGACUCUGUAUGAACUGAAAAAGAUAAUUGGCGUCCUAUGACUUUAAUUUCUUGGUGCUUCUGCACAGCUUUAGUCAUGGCCAUUUUGUUAGACUUUUGCUUUUGUACUUAGCUCUCUUCGUUCUCAUAUAUUAUAUACUAACAUGUUUAGGACCACACCUUUAUUCUCUGAAAUUCUUCAUCUUUUUACAGAUAAUAAUUAACUAAGAUGUUGUGCUGACACCAGCAUUUACAGUCCGGGAAUCAUAUAUUUCUCUGUGAAUUCUGAUGCAACAAUUUCUACAAAUGAUUGUUUACAACGAUCUCAGAGAAAUGUUUGCAUUAUGCCAAACAAAGUCACUGAGUAACCAGAGUUUUCAUAAGUAAUUUGCAAAAAGUUUAUUCAUGCUGUUUCACAAUCAUGUGAAAUCAUGAUAACUCUAAUUUGAAGGUUGUUAAGGGACAUUUUCUUCAAAAUAAACUGGAACUUGAUUACAAUUUUGUGGGUUGGGUUGGGUAAUUGAGUAAUUAUAGUUUUAAAAAUAAAAAAUUCAUAAAAAAAUAAAAGAUUUUGGGUAAAAUCAGACUCAAAUUCAAAAAACUCACUUAUUUAAUAGGGGAUUUCUAUGGUACACCCGUAAAUUACGGUCUACCGGUACUCUCACUUACAAUUUUUAUAAAUUAACUAUCAUUUUUUAUGAAGAAAAUAGGUGUUUGUUGACAUAUAUAUUUUAGAAAAUAUCAUUUUAUAUGAAAAAAAACAUCAUUUCAUUUUUUUAUAAAAAUAAUACUAAUUUUUUUACAUUUAUUGUAAAAAAUACUCAAAAUUCUCUAUUAUGAGUAAUAAGAAUUCAGAAAAAUCAAAUUUUAUUGCGUUGAUGUUUUUGGUAAAUAAGAUUUAGUUAUUAUAAUUACAGGUGAUAGAAAAUAAUUUUUUCCCACAAAAAAUAACUCAUUUAACUAUUAAUUUAAGGAUUUGGUAUACCAAUACACUCAAAUUGUUAGGUGUACCAUAGAACUUGCCUAUUUAAUAAUGUCAACAUAUUUAUUUUUAUUACCAUUUGUGAAGAAAGAGAAUACAAACUAUUUUAGUCCUAAAUCAAAUCUAAUUUUCAAAAUUGACACAAGUCUAUAUUGAAAAUAAAAACAUGCUAGAGUUACAAAUUCAGAUGUUGUACUUUUUGGUUAUUGUAAUGAUAAUGCAAUUUUAUGUCAAGUAACUUUAAUUUGUUGCAAGUAUUUUAUGAGAUUUAUUAUUUGGUAUUAUCAUUUUAUUAUUUUUAUACGUAAAAUAUAGUGAAAAUAAGUUACACAAUUAAAAAAAAAAAAAUUGGGUAUUUUUUUAUGAAAAAAUAUGAGGAAUCAUCGUUUAGUCAUUUAAUAUUAAAAAAAACUGAAAAAUAAAUUGGUUAACCCUCUAAUCCAACCCAACUCAAAUCGAAAAUUAAUGGGCUUAUCCAAACCGACCCUCACCCAAACCGACCCACGUACAUCCUAACGGGAAGUGCUAUCACUAACAAAAUACUCUAUCCGUUUCAAAAUACAUGUCCAUUUUGGAGAAAUUGCAGUAACCAAGAAAUUAAAUAAAUUUUGUUAUUUUUGAUGAAAUUAUGUGUGUGUUUUCUAUAAUACCCUUAACCAUUUAUUUUUUCAUUCUAUUUUUUUUCUCUCUCUACAAUAAAUAUGUAAGAGUAUUAUUGACAAGAAAAUAAUUAAUGUUACAUUGAAACUUGAAAGUGAUAAGUAUUGUGAAACAAAAUUAUUCUUCAAAAUGAACAAGUAUUAUGAAACGGAGGAGUAGUAGGUAAUUUGACUUGAAUAAAUGAAAUUAAUAUGUGAACACACAUGUUUGUUAACUAAGUUCGGUCAUACAUAUCCCACGUCUAGGGAUGGCAAUUGAACUCAGGCCCGAUGAGCACCCGCAAAAAAUACCCAUAAUGGAUAGGAUAAAAUUCCGCUUUUAUGGGUAUGGGUUUGGGUUCGGAUAAUUAUCAGCAAAUUUAGAUGGGUAUGGGUGUGGGUAAGGGCACUAUACUACCCAGCCCCGCAACCCGCAUAUACAUAUUUAGAUAAUAUAAUAAAUAUUUUAUUUAUUUUUGGUGUACAAUUAUUUAAUUUAUUUAGCUAUUUAAGCAUAAACCUAAACCUAAAAAGUAAUACGAUAACCGUUUCAUCCUUACCUUCAUAAGACCACGAGAUAAAAAUUUAUGAUUUAAAUUAAUUUGAUGUGUUAUUUAGCAUGCACUUUUUUAUAUAUAUUUUGAAUGUUUUUAUUUUAAUUUCGAGGAAUAUUUUGAAUGUUUUUUAUUUGACUAAAUACUACGAUUUUUACUAUUUUAUGAGUUGUUUUAAAAAAAAUUGAAACAUAGUUUUAUUUCAAUUGUGAUAUUUUUUAUUAUCUUUUAUAAUUAAAGUGCUGGUAAUGGGUAUGGGCACCUAGGUGCCCAUAGGGUAUGAGCACUUAGGUGCCCAUAGGGUAUGGGGAAUGACACUAAAGUUGUUACCCACGAGGAUACGGACUCGGGUACAGGCGUUUUUUACAAACGAGGGUAUGAAAAAAGUUACUAUAAUACCCUAUCCAUUGGAUAUCCAUUACCAUCCCUACACGUUUGUUACCGCCGAGCAGCUGCAAUUCCUUUAUAUUGUCAAUACCUAUGAGUGAUACUCAAUAAAUUGGAUGAAGAAUAAUUACAAAAGUAUUUUGGAUAUUAACAUUGGGUGUAUAGGCCUUAGACGUUGUUUAAUAUGUCUUGGUGUUUUGCUCUGUUAAUUCUUAAAAAAAAUAAUCAAAUAUAAAACUUCUUUUCUAUACUUAUUGUUACACUUCAGCAAGCAAUUCUAAUAAGAAGCAAAUAAGUAAUCUUAAACUUCAUUCCUCAAAAAAAAAAAAAAAAAGUAAUCUUAAACUUCAUGUUGCCAUUAUCCGUUGUUUAACAUGCCUCUUUUUGCUCCUUAAAAAAAAAAAAUGCCUCUUUUUAUCUAAUGUGAAACUUCUUUUUUACACUUAAAGUUACAUUUAUGUGCUAAAAGAAUACAAUUUUCGUAUGAAAUAGAGCAGCUGGUGGCUUGAAAAUUGCUCUUCUCACCAUGAAAAUACUAAAAUACCCUUCCGAUGGCAGUUACUGCUGCUAGCUCUAAUGCCAUUAGCCCGCGACAGUUAACUACUAUAGAGUAUUUUGAUAUUUUCACGGUGUUUGGGAGCAUAAAUGAUAGUGUGAGAAGAGCAAUUUUCUAGUGGCUAUAAGACGAUGGGCUUUUAAUUUCUAAGGCUAUGUCCUCAUUUUUAAAACUCAAAAAAUAUUUGGGCCCAGUUUUAUACACACCCCACGUAUAUACCAGGUUGAUGGACGAUGGUGUAUUGUCUAGAAAUUCAUGUUCAAAUUGGACAAAAAUUAAUUCAGCGUCAGCAUUAUUUUGGAUUGACAAAGUUGACCUAUUAGCAAGCUAAUCACAUUUCAAUUACAUUGAAGUGGUUUUUAAUUAGAUUUGAAUUUGAGUCAUUGAUAUUUUAAAUAGAAGUGAUUUUUGUUGGGCCACAUGAAAGACUAAUGCACAAUAAUCAUCACAUAGACCCAAGAACAAUCGCACAUUUGGGCAACAAAUCUUCAUAAAACAUUCAAUAGAGAGUGCUAAAUGAUACUAUAAACUACAUGUAGACAAGCUGGACAUAUACUAUGCAAAAAAAGCUUAUGACCUGGUCUAGCCUAUAUCACAUUCUGCACUAGAUAUAUUAUACACAAGAAACGCAGAGAAAGGAUAUACAUGUGGGAAUGGAAAUGGAAAAAUGAUGGUGCAUGAAAAAUAAGAUUAUUCAGGAUAAUACUGCUAUAAUAUAUAUGAUUCCCCACCGUCAAAGGUACAAUACCAACAGAAAAGUGAGGAUUAGUAACUUUUUCUGUAUAUAAUAACCAAAUUUACAGUAAUCGUACAAUACUUCAACAACUCUCUGAUUUUUACUCUCUCGAGGCUAUUAAUAUGACUACUCUACUAGUAUUCUAAAGGAGUAAUCAUUCUCUCUAUAUCCCUAGUUCUCUUUAUCUCAAGGUUAUAGUAUUAUUUAUUUAUCAUCAGUUCCUUUUGCAGUGAUUUGAAGUCCAUAUCUGCAACUUAAAUUAUUUGGCAGUGUAUGUAUGAAUCAAUAUGCAUUUAAUUUGCUUUAUUUAUAACUCUGGUGGUUUUGUAAGCUUCUACUAUAUGUUUCAUGUUUACUAAAAAUUAUCUUACCAAUUGAGAGUACAACAUUUCACUGUUUGGUGCAUGACACGCAUUUCUCUCCUAGUAUGUUAUUUUUGUCGCUGAUUAAUUGGCCAUAUGUCAACAUUUCAAUUUUUUUGUUAGUCAUUAUCAACCUUCAUUGCAAAAGACUUGCACUGUUUCAUACUAUUUUUGCAUGAUAAUAUUCCAUCCUGUUUUUAUAUUUUGUCUAAACUAAGCAUGUUUUUAUUGUUGUAUAUCCAAAUCCAAAAUAAAUAACCCACAGAAAAAAGAAAAAAAAACUUCUUGUCCAUAUCUCUUUUGCUAUCAAGCAAAUUGAAAGCUUAUCAAUUUUUAAUAUUAAGGGUGAGGAAGAUUCAAAAACAUUGGGAAAAAAGUUGGUGGAAUUCAGCAGAACCAGUUUUCUUUUUCUUGGUCUUGUUGAUUUUUUGUUGGUAGAUUGAUUUCUUGGUCGUAUCAUAACAUGUAUUUAUCUGUUACAAAUUAUAGUUCACUAUUCUCAAAUGUUACUCAUGAGUGUUUCGGGAAGUUUGUUGCUCGUCAAAUUCAAUUGGAUUGCAUCUUCUUGGUAAUGCCCUCCUCUCAUCUUUAUACCUUUGCUCUUUUCUUAUUAGUCUAAAUUUAAUACUGUCUAUUUCUAAGCUUUCUUGAAAAUUAUUUAUAAGCCAAGUAUUUAUGCAGCAAAAAUUUAUGCUUAAGUAAUGCCAAAAAUAAGGAGUCUGACUUUGCUCCACUUACAUGUAUGUCGUCUAUUUAUUGUUCAUUUAUAAGAGAUAUAUAUGAGAGAGAUAGUCACGAUGGAAAGAUUAACGGGAACAUUGAAGUCCACUUAUUAAAAUGGGUCUCAAUAAUCUCUCAUUUGUGUAGAUCUCAACCGUAAAUAGACAAUAAAUGUAGAGUAGAACUCUAAAAAUCAUGACUUCAAUGUUUUUGCUUUCCAUUCUUUCUCCUCGUUGUAACUUGUUAGUUUAUCUUUCACUUUCUCUUAUUUUUCUUUGGUGUAUGCUCUAGACUACUCCUCAUACCAUUUUGGUUUUGAUUUGUUUUUUCGAAAAUAAAUCAAGAAAUAAUAUAUUUUGCUAUUAAAAAAUAAAAUGGAAAACAGAAGUAAUCAACUGAAAAACUAGCCUGAAUUAAAAUAGCCCCACCAAGGACCACCACACGAACCUCAGCUUAAUAAAGGGGAAACAAAUUUCAAAUACAAGGAAAUGCUAGAUUCUAAACACUAUAUAUACAGACCGCAAAUUUAAUAUAAAAAAGUAUAUAAAAAAUUCAAAACCAAAACAAUGUUUCUCAAAAUCCAAGGUGGCAUUGGGUAGGUCUAUUUGCAACUUUUGCACAAUACCUCACAAUCCAAAGAUAUUAAACAUCAAUGAAAAAUAUCCUCCAGCUCUCAGAUUUUUUUCUUUGAAAAGGAUACAUGGAUAAGGACUCGAAGCAGAACUGAAAAUCUUCUUAUGUAAUUCUCAGAGGAAAAGAAUGGUACAUGGUCUAUAUGUGCAUGUUGAGUUGUGAGGGAGUCUAAAAUAUAGAGGCACGUUGAGCUAUGAACAACAACAUGGUUGACACCAAAUAUUUACACAAAACCUUAAAAUAUUAGGUAUGUAAAUCCCCCUCUUUUUUUUAGGGAAAAUCCCUAUAUAUAUAUAUAUAUAUAUAUAUAUAUAUAUAUAUAUAUAUAUAUAUAUAUAUUGUUCAACAUUCAAAUUUUCAUCCAUGUAUGACUUAUUAAUCACAUUUGAUACUCUAACAAUACGAGAGACCUUAGUUGUACACUUGCACUAGUUAAUUUUGUGAAUUACCAAAAGAACAAAAAGUUACAACUUAUCUAUGUUUACAAUACAAGGCACUUAAUGAUCUAAUUAAAAAAAAAAAAAACUUCGAGUGUUUCGGAGAUUGACGACACUUGGAAAUGGUUAUUUGGAAAACACUCCGGUACUGCGUCUUUUUUUAUUAGUGGUUUGUAAAUCCGAUGUAUUGUUUGACUAGAUAGGAUAACUUAUAUGAUUAUCUAUAUAUAUUUUUUUUUAUGGUGGGUGUAGUGCCAAAAAUAUGGGUGCCAGUACUACUCGUACCUUUUGCCAUUAGAAGAAAAAAAAAAAAUGUUAAUCUGCCAAUACCUAGAUAUGUUUUGUUAAUAUCAAAGAAGAAUAUGUUGAUAAUGGAUAUAAGUACAAGUAAUAAACACAACCAACUAGAGUAAUAUAAAUAGUACUAAAUCCACAAGCAAAAUUUAAUACCCUACAUAUGGAAAACUUCCUAAUUACGCAUAAAAUCUAAAUGAUUCACAAACCACUCAUAAAAAAUACAAGGAGCUCCCGUCUGUCUAGCCAAAAACCAUUACCAAUAUGUAGAUAUGAAGGUGGAUGCCACUCCACUAACUAAAUUUCUUGUUUUUAAAUGAACACUAAAAAUACAUUUAUCGGCCAAAUCUCUAAGAACUUGUAACAUGCAUGUUGUAGUAUGAAUAUUGUGCUCGCGAUUUUCGGAUGUCAAACCAUUAAUUGAUUUGAAUCGUCAACCUUUGAACUCUCGAUUUUUAUUCUUGGGAAGGGAAAAAAUGAGUAAAAACCCUUAUCGAGACUUUGGAUUCGGGGGUUGGUUAUGCGAAGGGAAGGUGCUAGCACCCUAAGCAUCUACGGUAUUCCGUAGGAACCUCUUACCUNNNNNNNNNNNNNNNNNNNNNNNNNNNNNNNNNNNNNNNNNNNNNNNNNNNNNNNNNNNNNNNNNNNNNNNNNNNNNNNNNNNNNNNNNNNNNNNNNNNNNNNNNNNNNNNNNNNNNNNNNNNNNNNNNNNNNNNNNNNNNNNNNNNNNNNNNNNNNNNNNNNNNNNNNNNNNNNNNNNNNNNNNNNNNNNNNNNNNNNNNNNNNNNNNNNNNNNNNNNNNNNNNNNNNNNNNNNNNNNNNNNNNNNNNNNNNNNNNNNNNNNNNNNNNNNNNNNNNNNNNNNNNNNNNNNNNNNNNNNNNNNNNNNNNNNNNNNNNNNNNNNNNNNNNNNNNNNNNNNNNNNNNNNNNNNNNNNNNNNNNNNNNNNNNNNNNNNNNNNNNNNNNNNNNNNNNNNNNNNNNNNNNNNNNNNNNNNNNNNNNNNNNNNNNNNNNNNNNNNNNNNNNNNNNNNNNNNNNNNNNNNNNNNNNNNNNNNNNNNNNNNNNNNNNNNNNNNNNNNNNNNNNNNNNNNNNNNNNNNNNNNNNNNNNNNNNNNNNNNNNNNNNNNNNNNNNNNCAAUGACAAGAUAAAAUGAUGAGAAAAUUAAAUAUGCAUGCUAUGAUUUAAGACAAAAAUUAAAUGGUUAGUAAUCACAAGAAAUAUUAGGAUGAAUGAGACAUAAGAAAUAAUAAGCAAGAAUUAAAAUAAUAAAAAAUUUUAAGAUCAUCAUAUAAGAAAUAAUAAAAAAAAAACAAAUUAAAAGGAAAAAAAAAAAAAUAGGAUGGAUUUUUAACAAUUAUAGAAAAUUAAAAUAGUGAGAAAAACAUUUUUUGGAAUUUUUUUUCUAAACAUAAAAAUGUCAAAAAGAAUAAAAAAACAGCAUUUAAAAAAAUAAAAACAAUAACAAAUAAAAAUAAUAAAACAUUUGCUCAGCAGGAUUAAUUCUGGACCAUUGGAUUAAAUCAAUGGUCCAGGUUCAAACCCUGGAUUCAUCAUAGCCAUAGGAUCUAAGAUCCAACAGUUGGAUAAAAAAGAACAUGGAAUACUGCAGGCAAGGAACGCACAUGUGAUCUAAACAGAAUCAUCCUUGACCGUUAGAUUAAAAAUCAAUCAGUCUAGAUCUGAAGGUGUAUUAAGUGUCACCAUAGAUUGCACAUGCAUGACCGUUAGAUUAAAAAAAGACAGGAUCUAAAGGUUCAGAAAGAAGGGAAAGAGGAAUCAAAUGGACCGGUACGGUUCAGAUGAACCAGACCGGUCUGCACAUGUUUAUAAAGGGGUUUGGACCGGUUUUCUUCUUAUUUCCUCCUUUCUCCCUCUCUCUAAACAUUUUUUAGUGAGAGAAGGUCUGCAAAUUGCAGCCUUCUUCUCCGGCGAAGCAUGUAAUUUCCGGCGUGGUGGCCGCCGGCCAACAGGCGGCGCCGCCGCGCCGGAGGAACAAAACACCUCCGUUUGCAAAUUUUUUUACGUUUUUAAAGAUCCUUUUUCCUGUUUUGCAUGAAUCCCAACUUAGAUUUUUGAAAACAAGCUCCUACAAGCCUAGAUCUAACAAAGAAAAUUCAAAGAAAAGUGAGCAAAAACACUACCUCUACUCCGGUCCGGUUCGCCUCCUCUUCUCCUUCUGGUCCGGUUCUCUUUUUGCUCCGGUUCGUUGCUCUCUCUCCGAACUGGUUCGGUUUCCUUGCUCUCUCUCCGAACUGGUUCGGUUUCCUUGCUCUCUCUCUCCGAUUCGGUUUUGCUUCUUCUAUACUUUGAUUUUGUGGUUCUUUGUGUUUGUUGGAUUUCGAAAGAAAAACAAAUUGCUGGUGUAAGAUUCACGAAAAUGAUGUUGUUGUUUGAUGAUUUUGAGUUUGGAAUUUAUAACUGGAAUAAUCUGUGUUCAUCAUGUUCAUAUGAUGUUCAUGAUGAACUUUGUGAAUUUUGUGUAUUUGAUUUGAAAAAGGAAAAAAAGAGAAAAUGAAAGGUGUUUCUGAUGGUGAUUGGUGACUGCAGAACUGAUUGGGGGUCUGUGUGUACAGUGAUUUUUUCCUUGACCUCUUUUCCAAUGAUUGACAGUGUUUUUAUAGUGACAAACUAGGGUUGGCUCUGGUACAAAUCAAUGACCAAAAUGCCCCUGCAGCUGAGACUUGGAGAAAAAGACUUUAACAAAUAAAUAAAUAAAUAAAUAAAAACAAAAUGAAUAAAAUAAAUAAAUAAUAAUAAAAAAAAAAAAAAAAAGAAAAGAGGAAGGAAGAAAGUCACUCACGUGACUUUCAUUUCUUUGUUUUUUUUUCUAAAAAAUAAAAAAUAAAAUAAUAAUAAACAAACUAACCUAAAAAAAAAAGAAAAUAAAAAGUCCCUUCGAAAUCUGACAUGAGGUACUUCAAAGUAUCCUCCCUGCCGAAAUUUCGGUUGAAAUGAUUAAAAAGAUACGCCUUUUAACAUACAAUUAGCAAUUUUAAAAUGACUUGCCUGUUAUGACUAAAAGGAUUAUAAAAUGCGUUUAUAAAAAUGCAAAUGGAGUGAUUUUAAAUGUUGUAGAAAAUGCAAGCGAGGACUUAAAUGCAAGAUGAAAGUUUUUUUUUAAAUGAUUAAUGACGAAAAACACGAGUUUUAAAAGGUAAAAAACGAAUAAAAGAGAAUCUGAACUAUUAAAAAAAUGUGGACAAAAAAGAUUUCAAAUGAUCCAAAUUUGGGGUAUGACAAAUAUGAUUGCUAUGUGUAUCAUAUCAAUCAAUCAUAUCAUAGACAUUUGUGGCUGGUCCCUAAAGUAAUCACCAGACAAAUUAAGUUAAAAAUAAAAUAUUAUAUUUGAAUAAAAGGUAUCCCAUAUAGAAUUUAAAAUGUUACGCGUUAAAAUACAUCGUAAAAAAAUCAAUGUUACGCGUUAAAAUAUUAUUUUUGGAGUUUUUUUUUCCCUCUUUUAAGUUGUAUAUGGAACAAUAGAAAUCUGAACAGUUGUUUACUAUCGUUGCGGAUAAAAACAUCAUUUUCAUGUAUUUUUUUAGACAAAAUUGAAUGUGAGAAAAACAAUUUUCAUUUUCAUGCUGAUUCAUUUUGAAUUGAGGCAGGCCUAACAACUCAUUACAUCUGUAGGACAUAAAAGUCCAACUUAUAUCAACUCCUCACUAUGUGGUCCAUAUACAUAUGCACUUUUAUCACAAAAUAUCUCAACACCUAUAACAGAUGGUGUCAAUUUUGACUUUAUCAAAUAAUUUUGGGACAUAUUAAAGGAUGAUUUUUUGAGAUUUAUGGUGGAGUUUCAUCGAAACGGAAAGUUGACAAAAGGCUUAAAUUCUACUUUUAUUCAUUUACUUCCUAAGGUGAAUAGUCCGCAACGGCUUAAUGAUUUCCGGCCUAUCUCCUUGGUUGGUUGUCUGUAUAAGGUGUUAGCUAAAGUUCUGGCUAAUAGGCUUAAAUCAGUUAUGGGUAGUGUGGUCUCUGAGUCACAAUAUGCUUUUAUUAAAGGGAAACAAAUUUUAGAUGGAAUUUUAAUAGCGUAUGAGGCGGUUGAUGAAGCUAAACAGUUGAAUAAGGAGUUGCUCUUGUUCAAAGUUGAUUUCGAAAAAGCGUAUGACUCCGUGGAUUUAAGGUAUCUGGAUUCUGUUAUGGCUAGUAUGAAUUUUCCAACUAUUUGGAGAAAGUGGAUUUCUGAAUGUGUUGGCACGGCAACAGGCGUCAGUGUUAGUGAAUGGUUGUCCAACGGAGGAGUUUUCUAUUGAGCGG